RNAcentral lists this ribosomal RNA (1152 nucleotides) under Triticum aestivum (bread wheat). RNAcentral describes it as "partial small subunit ribosomal RNA". Lineage: Eukaryota; Viridiplantae; Streptophyta; Magnoliopsida; Poales; Poaceae. The record is from RNAcentral.
AUGUUCCAAGGGAAACACACAACUUCUGUUUCAGAGGCUGACAGGAAACGAAACAAAACAUCACAGAGGACAGGCUGCAAUGCAAGAAUGAGGGUGAAGGUGCAGGAGGAUAACACAUGUGUAGUAGUGGAAAUUGAGUACAAUCAUAAUCACCACCGCAUGCAAACGGAUGACAUGCUGAUAUUCUUGCACUCACACAAGAAUUAUGACCCCACUAUUCUAGAGUACGUAAAGCUCCUUCAGUACCAUGAUGUCAAGCAUACAACAAUCAUGUCCAUGCUAUCCGAAAAUGAAGAUGGAAGCUACUUCCUAAGUAUGACCGGACGAGACCUACUAAACCAGAAAGCCAUGAAUGCAAAGAAAGAUGAUUUAGAUGAUGUAUUGAAACUUGUAUCUUUCUUCAAAGACAUGAAGGAAAUCAAUGAAGAGUUUUUCUAUGACAUACAAUCCAAUGCAAGCUGUCGAGGAGCGUAUCAAGACUUUUGGGAUUGCGUAACUUUCGACAUAACUUACAAGACCAACAGAUUUCAUAUACCUUUGGGUGUGUUUGUUGGAAUAAACCAUCAUUUGCAGUCAACGAUAUUUGCUAUUGCCCUGAUCAGAGACGAAGAUCCUAUGGGUCUGUAUUGGGUACACUGGUUUUAUCUGAAAAAAAUGUAAAGCAAGCAGUUCAACCACUUUCAUGCAGACCAGUGCCCGCCGAUGGCCAAAUCUAUACCACAAUCAUUCCCAAACAUUGCCCACAAGCUAUGUCGUUGGCACAUCCUGAAGAAGUUCAAGGAAUACGUUGCGUUGCUGUGCAAAAAGUAUAAAACAUUCAAAGAGGAGUUCACAACAAUCUUAAAUUGGCCGCUAAUGCCAACGGAGUUUGAAGCUGCCUAGGCUGAACUCGUGCAAAAGUACAACCUACAGAACGACCGGAUGAUGAUGCAACUGUGGAAUGAUAGGAAAAUGUGGAUAUAAGCCUAUUACAAGAACAUUUUUUAUGCUAGAAUGACUUCUACACAACGAAGCGAGAGCAUGAAUCAUGUGCUCAAGAGAGGGUUUGUUAGGGGGACCCAGAACCUACACAAGUUUGCUAGGCAGGUAAAUGCUUGCAUACAAACUCGGAUGCAGAAGGAGAACGAGCAAACAAUGACCAGCAUGGUAUGA